This 250-nucleotide ribosomal RNA is filed under the name uncultured bacterium. RNAcentral describes it as "partial 16S ribosomal RNA". It matches the Rfam family "Bacterial small subunit ribosomal RNA", at positions 524 to 773 of the family's 1533-position model. The record is from RNAcentral.
UACAGGGGGCUCGAGCGUUAAUCGGAAUCAUUGGGCUUAAAGGGUGCGUAGGCGGGUUGCUAAGUGUUUUGUGAAAUCCCCCGGCUCAACCGGGGAAUCGCAGGGCAUACUGGCAGCCUUGAGGCAUGUAGGGGCGGACGGAACUGUAGGUGGAGCGGUGAAAUGCGUAGAUAUCUACAGGAACGCCGAUGGUGAAGACGGUCCGCUGGGCAUGUCCUGACGCUGAGGCACGAAAGCGUGGGGAGCAAAC